Molecule: long non-coding RNA, 768 nt
Filed under: Strigops habroptila (Kakapo)
Lineage: Eukaryota; Metazoa; Chordata; Aves; Psittaciformes; Psittacidae
Description: lncRNA (ENSSHBG00005000079.1)
Source: RNAcentral
GGGCGAGGCGGAGCUGCCGGGAGAUGGCGGCUCUACACAGGCGAGCGGCCGGCAAGCGCCGUUAACCGCGGUUGCGGUCCCCCGCGCCGCCGCGGAGGGGCCGCGCUUCACACGGGUGUCGAUUAUAUGUAAAUGUUGUGGACAGAGCGCCUUUCCCCGAUUCUACCAUCUGAAUGGGCAAAAUUUGCUAGUAACACAGAAGUAAGCUGCACUCCCCUGGUGUCUGAGAAGCUGCAUAAUAAAAUACAGAGACUUUGAUUCCACUGGAUUUUUGCUGCAGCUUGGGUACAAGAAGCGAUAAAACCUGAGAGAAAAUAAACAGAAAAUGCCUUAAAUUCAAACUGAAUUCCUUUAACAGCCCCGUUUCCCCACUGAUUGUCGCAAGACUAAAACUGGUCUAGACCUUCCUACCUGGAAUUGCUUAGUGUACAGUAACAAUUGUUCUUCCUAAUGGAUUUUAACACGUGAUGGAAAGAAUUUUUCUUCCCUUUUAUCUCGCCUCCUUUGAUGGGAAAAUUACCCCCCUACUGUGAGUUACAACAGGGCGGUUAACCAUUACAGAAAGCAAUUUCAGGGUGAGGGAAGUCAAAUAUGCUGCUGUUACUGGUUAACAGUUAAAUUUCUCUACUUGCUGCUGGUUUUCUUCUAUCUAAUAAAGGGGAGAACCAACCAUUUACCAUCCUCAAAUUAAUACUGUUUAACAUUGAUCUGUUGCAACCUGAAAUGAAAAAAUACAUUAAAAAUAUGCUUAUGUUUAAAAACCAAAAA